RNAcentral lists this ribosomal RNA (483 nucleotides) under uncultured bacterium. RNAcentral describes it as "partial 16S ribosomal RNA". It matches the Rfam family "Bacterial small subunit ribosomal RNA", at positions 28 to 523 of the family's 1533-position model. The record is from RNAcentral.
GACGAACGCUGGCGGCGUGCUUAACACAUGCAAGUCGAACGAUGAAGCCGGAGCUUGCUCCGGUGGAUUAGUGGCGAACGGGUGAGUAACACGUGAGCAAUCUGCCCUUGACUCUGGGAUAACUGCGGGAAACUGUAGCUAAUACCGGAUACGACACCUUGGGGCAUCCCAGGGUGUGGAAAGAAUUUCGGUCAAGGAUGAGCUCGCGGCCUAUCAGCUAGUUGGUGAGGUAAUGGCUCACCAAGGCGACGACGGGUAGCCGGCCUGGGAGGGUGACCGGCCAGACUGGAACUGAGACACGGUCCAGACUCCUACGGGAGGCAGCAGUGGGGAAUAUUGCACAAUGGGCGAAAGCCUGAUGCAGCAACGCCGCGUGAGGGAUGAAGGCCUUCGGGUUGUAAACCUCUUUUAGCAGGGAAGAAGCGAAAGUGACGGUACCUGCAGAAAAAGCACCGGCUAACUACGUGCCAGCAGCCGCCGUAA